GCUGGGCGUUGCCGCCGGAGAGGCGCUCGACGGGCAGGUCCGUGGAAGCAGCCACGAUCCUGAACUCCUCGAGUUUGCGCUGGGCCAAAUCGUUGAUCUUGCCGCGAUCGAGGAAUGGUCCGCGUCUGUAUUCCGGCUUACGCUGCCAGCCAAGUACCAGGUUCUCGGCAGUUCCGAACUCCGAGAUCAACCCUUCGCGGAAACGAUCGUCAGGCACGAGCCCGACACCCCU
This 232-nucleotide small RNA is filed under the name Sinorhizobium meliloti 2011. RNAcentral's name for it is "putative ncRNA". The record is from RNAcentral. Lineage: Bacteria; Pseudomonadati; Pseudomonadota; Alphaproteobacteria; Hyphomicrobiales; Rhizobiaceae.